ACAUUAUUUCAUUCCCUACAAUAGCUCUGUGGAGUGGAUACCACCAUUAUCUCAGUUUUACAGGUGAGAAAACUGAGGCUCAGAGAAAGCAAAGUAAUUUACACAGUGUUUCUCAAAGAGAAGGUAUGAAUUCUAGCCCAAGUCAAGUAGGAGGUAAGUACUCCAUGGGGAAGCAAUCUGAUCAGUAGGCAUGGAACAAACAUUCCCUUCUAGAUUAUUUUGUUCAUGUAUGGCUCAGCUUCCAGUCUUGGUUGGGAAAACAUGAACAAACUGAAAAACUCAAAUGCUACAAGUCUUAUCAAUUUGGGGAGUGGGCUCAGGAUUCACAGAACCCAGGUUGGGUUGGGCACUUACACCAGGAAACCUUGUAAAUCGUGGGAAAAAACCAAAUAUGAUGAUGCAAAUGCAGAAUUUCACUGUAAAUAUCUUAAAUCCAAGCUGUAAGAGCUCCCUACUCUGUUACAGAUGAAUUAAGAUUGUUUGCUAAUUGUAUGACUAAGGGUAAACCACUUUAUUUCUUAACUCUUAGUUUUCUUCUUCUGUAAAAUGAAGUUAAUAAUACCUCUUAGAAUUGUUGAAAGUAUCAGUGUAUGUGAAAGUGCUUUGUAAACUGUGCAGGAAGAUAUAUAGAUAUGCAGAUUAUAACAGAUGGGUCAUAAUAGAAAUCCCAUUUCUUUAUCAGGUAUAUACUUUGUUGCUUGAAUUCAAUGAGUGACACCAAGGAUCAAAAAGGAAAAGGACACUAGUAGCUCUCA
This 755-nucleotide long non-coding RNA is filed under the name Homo sapiens (human). RNAcentral describes it as "HSALNT0286253". Lineage: Eukaryota; Metazoa; Chordata; Mammalia; Primates; Hominidae. The record is from RNAcentral.